UACGGAGGGUGCAAACGUUGCUCGGAUUCAUUGGGCGUAAAGGGUGUGUAGGCGGUUGAGUUUGUCGACUGUGAAAGCUCUCGGCUUAACCGAGAAAGUGCAGUCGAAACGGCUCGACUUGAGUACCGGAGAGGGUGACGGAAUUCCCGGUGUAGUGGUGAAAUACGUAGAUAUCGGGAGGAACACCAGAGGCGAAGGCGGUCACCUGGACGGAUACUGACGCUGAGACACGAAAGCGUGGGGAGCAAACAGG
Molecule: ribosomal RNA, 253 nt
Filed under: uncultured bacterium
Lineage: Bacteria
Description: partial 16S ribosomal RNA
Rfam family: Bacterial small subunit ribosomal RNA
Source: RNAcentral